This 468-nucleotide long non-coding RNA is filed under the name Elaeis guineensis (African oil palm). RNAcentral's name for it is "long non-coding RNA (EGUI_LNC076046)". Lineage: Eukaryota; Viridiplantae; Streptophyta; Magnoliopsida; Arecales; Arecaceae. The record is from RNAcentral.
GGUUGUCCUCAUAACCAAAGAGUGUGGAGACACUGGUAUGGCAUACAGGUGAGAUGUAAUGGUAAAUCUGCACUGAACGUGACCAACUCCAGAGCUAUUUCUGCUGUCAAGAUUUGCUCCGAUGGGAUAUGGGUAUACAUGUCCCUCCGACCUGAGACCACCACGGUGACUUGCAAGCAACUCACUGCACUUAGGCACUGGACUACCUGAAUUUCUAAUUCAAUGAUGGAAGUCUGCUGGGUGUAGUCAAGUACUUGACUUGUCGGUGCGUGUGUCAAGAUGGGAUUGACCACUCCAGUUUAGGAGCUAUGUACAGUCAUAUUUCAAUUUAGCAAAACCUUGGCCAGGGUAGUCCUAGUGAGGAGUCACAGGACUAAUUGAGUUGAGCACGAUUCGGAUGAUAUCAUCAGGGUUGACAGUUUAACCCUGAGUCAUCCUAAACACAGGGGUCAAAAGGGAUGAAUUAUA